GUCCACGCCGUAAACGAUGGGUGCUAGGUGUGGGUGGUGUCGACUCCGUCCGUGCCGAAGCUAACGCAUUAAGCACCCCGCCUGGGGAGUACGGCCGCAAGGCUAAAACUCAAAGGAAUUGACGGGGGCCCGCACAAGCAGCGGAGCAUGUGGUUUAAUUCGACGCGACGCGAAGAACCUUACCAAGGCUUGACAUGACCAGGAAUGUCGUAGAAAUACGGCAGCCCUUCGGGGCCUGGCCACAGGUGGUGCAUGGCUGUCGU
This 263-nucleotide ribosomal RNA is filed under the name uncultured bacterium. RNAcentral describes it as "partial 16S ribosomal RNA". It matches the Rfam family "Bacterial small subunit ribosomal RNA", at positions 793 to 1055 of the family's 1533-position model. The record is from RNAcentral.